This 509-nucleotide ribosomal RNA is filed under the name uncultured Alphaproteobacteria bacterium. RNAcentral's name for it is "bacterial SSU rRNA". It matches the Rfam family "Bacterial small subunit ribosomal RNA", at positions 8 to 563 of the family's 1533-position model. The record is from RNAcentral. Lineage: Bacteria; Pseudomonadati; Pseudomonadota; Alphaproteobacteria.
AGAGUUUGAUCCUGGCUCAGAACGAACGCUGGCGGCAGGCUUAACACAUGCAAGUCGAACGCCCUCUUUUGAGGGAGUGGCAGACGGGUGAGUAACGCGUGGGAAUCUACCUAGUGGUAAGGAACAACACAGAGAAAUUUGUGCUAAUACCUUAUACGCCCUCCGGGGGAAAGAUUUAUCGCCAUUAGAUGGGCCCGCGUUUGAUUAGCUAGUUGGUGAGGUAAUGGCUCACCAAGGCGACGAUCAAUAGCUGGUCUGAGAGGAUGAUCAGCCACACUGGGACUGAGACACGGCCCAGACUCCUACGGGAGGCAGCAGUGGGGAAUAUUGGACAAUGGGCGCAAGCCUGAUCCAGCCAUGCCGCGUGUGUGAUGAAGGCCUUAGGGUUGUAAAGCACUUUCAACGGUGAAGAUAAUGACGGUAACCGUAGAAGAAGCUCCGGCUAACUUCGUGCCAGCAGCCGCGGUAAUACGAAGGGAGCUAGCGUUGUUCGGAAUUACUGGGCGUAA